This 451-nucleotide ribosomal RNA is filed under the name Listeria monocytogenes. Its description in RNAcentral is "partial 23S ribosomal RNA". It matches the Rfam family "Bacterial large subunit ribosomal RNA", at positions 2476 to 2925 of the family's 2925-position model. Lineage: Bacteria; Bacillati; Bacillota; Bacilli; Caryophanales; Listeriaceae. The record is from RNAcentral.
AACAGGCUUAUCUCCCCCAAGAGUUCACAUCGACGGGGAGGUUUGGCACCUCGAUGUCGGCUCAUCGCAUCCUGGGGCUGUAGUCGGUCCCAAGGGUUGGGCUGUUCGCCCAUUAAAGCGGUACGCGAGCUGGGUUCAGAACGUCGUGAGACAGUUCGGUCCCUAUCCGUCGUGGGCGUAGGAAAUUUGAGAGGAGCUGUCCUUAGUACGAGAGGACCGGGAUGGACAUACCUCUGGUGUACCAGUUGUCGUGCCAACGGCAUAGCUGGGUAGCUAUGUAUGGACGGGAUAAGUGCUGAAAGCAUCUAAGCAUGAAGCCCCCCUCAAGAUGAGAUUUCCCAACUUCGGUUAUAAGAUCCCUCGAAGAUGACGAGGUUAAUAGGUUCGAGGUGGAAGCGUGGUGACACGUGGAGCUGACGAAUACUAAUCGAUCGAAGACUUAAUCAAUAUU